GACGAACGCUGGCGGCGGGCCUAAUACAUGCAAGUCGAGCGAAGCGGCGGAUGGGUGAGUCACGCGUGGGUAACCUGCCCUUUAGCCUGGGAUACGAUUUGGUAACAGCUGCUAAUACAGGAUACUAAAGGAUGUUCUUGGGAUGCAUUAGCUAGUUGGGAAGGUAACGGCUUACCAAGCCGAUGAUGCAAAGCCUAGUGGUGAGGAGGAGCGGCCACAUUAGAACGGAGACACGGCCCAAACUCCUACCGGAGGCAGCGGUGGGGUAUCGUCCACAAGGGACGAAAGUCUAAUAUGGCAAAGCCGCGUAGGGUAAGGAGGUUUGCGGAUAGUAAUGGUCUGCUGUUGGUGAAUCUGUAUUCAACCAGAAAGGCACGGCUAACUACGUGCCAGCCGCCGCGGUAAUUC
RNAcentral lists this ribosomal RNA (408 nucleotides) under uncultured bacterium. RNAcentral's name for it is "partial 16S ribosomal RNA". It matches the Rfam family "Bacterial small subunit ribosomal RNA", at positions 28 to 526 of the family's 1533-position model. The record is from RNAcentral.